CAAAUGGGAGCAUUGAUUGAAUCUUAUCAAAUAUGAUAAUAUUAAAUUCUUCAUAUUACUUUCUUGGAAAGUUGCUGAUAGAAAAUGAUUCUGAACAAUAAUAUUGAAUUCCCAUAACCAAAUACUCUCUUAAUGGAAAUUUGGGUUGGCUACAUGAAUAUUUUUUUCACCAUACUAAAAGUAACUAAUUUACCUAUAGCACUAUUUAAGCAGCCUAGCAUGAGAUUUGACAAUUAUCAAGAUUCAUUUGAAAGUUCUUCCAUCAAAAGGAAAUUUAUUGAUACAGCAAAAUAAUUGAACAGCUGAUUGCAAUACAGUGGGAAAAAUAUGGAAGAGAUUCCAUUCACUUGGAAAAAUUUUCUUCUAUGUAUUUCUUGCCAACACAUCCCUAAUUAGUUGUUUUGGUGCUGGCAAACCAGUGAAUCUUUCGAACUGUACAAAUGCUUGAUUGAUGAACAUCUCUGUCCCGUAAACAAUAGUGGCUCCACAUUCUUGUGCUUCUCUUAAGAGCCUGGUCAAUUUUGGUGUGUAGAUUGCAUCAAAGACCAAGGAGUAGUGUUUCAGAGCUUCCUUAGGAAGGGGGGUAUCUUCAAUUCUUGGUUUCAUUCCGACCGACGUGGUAUUUGCAAGGAUCAUUCCCUCUUCUGGAUGGAAAUCUUUCAGCUCAGCAAGAGUCAUUGCUUGUCCUCCUACUUUACUGGCAAGUUCUUUGGCUUUUUCAUAUGUGCGAUUAGCAACAACAACUCUUGCUCCUUUCUCAUACCCACCAUAAGCAAGGGCCUUUCCGGCUCCACCAGCACCCAUGACAACAAAGAGUUUACCAGCCAAGGGGGAAACAGAAGGAGGGGUACCAUUUGAUCCUGCAAGAAAAUUAUAGAGUCAAAGGGAAAAAAUUAAUUUUAAAAGAAAGUUUAAAUAGAAGUUGCCACUAAAAUGCACCGUAAACCUCGCAGUGCCUCUUCUAUAGCUCCUAUGGCUCCAAGAUAGUCAACAUUAUAUCCCAUUAGCUUCCCAUCAGUUGGUCUCCUGAUCAUGCAACUAAUAGCUCCUAUUGCCUGCGCAAUUGGAUCAACCUCAUCACAACACUUAAGUCCAUCUUCCUUGUGAGGAAUUGUAUAACUGUAUCCAACAAAGUCUGGAGAUGAAUAUGUAGAUAUGUAAUUUGCAACAUUGUCAACCAAAAGAGGCAGAUAAAUUCCAUUAAAACCAACUGACUUAAAUGCUGCAUUGUAGAGGUGAGGACUUUUGCUGUGACCAAUAGGAUUUCCAAUAACACCAUGUAUUUUGGUAUCAGAUCCUAUGAGUCUGAGAUUAUACAAAUCCAGCAAAUCUUUAAUGGUUGGUUGACCAGGAGCAGAUACUAUUCCUGCCUCGAUUGAACCAAAAGUGAGAAAUCCUCCAUAUUUUGCUGUGAGUAUCCUUGACAUCAAGCCUCUCUCACCCAUAACAAGUCCUAUCAUUGGGACUUGCGAAUGCACAAGCACAUGAAACAUCCGUGCAUUGUCUGUGAUGUCUAAAGCUGUUGUUGCAAUCUUCACUAUAUCAGCUCCUGUGGCUUGAAUUCUGGCAACAAGCUCUCCAAUCUCCUCAAUGGAUGGAGUACUUUCAUAAUUGUGAGAAGAAACAAUAAUCUUGACCUUUUCAGGUUUCUUCCCUUGAAUGGAACUGAAGAACCCUUGAGCUACCUUUAGCUCAACAUCAACAAAAUCUGAUCCCAAUUCGAUUGCCAGACGUAGUGCUUCUUGACGCUUGCUUUCUUCACCAUCAUACUCACCACCUUCCCAUUUCGGUCUGUAAGUGAUAAGAGUUGGUAAAGGACUUUGCUUGACUAAGACCUCAAGAUUCUGUCUAGGACUGAAAUUUUUUAAGAAAUCCACCCGAAUUUCAACAAGGUCAGCCCCAAGUUCCUGGGCCUUUUUCAUUUGAGUCAACAUUUGAUCAACUGAUUCUGCAAUUACUGGAGCACAGAUUAGUGUGGAAUUUCUUCGAGCUCCAUCCACAAUUUGAAGAUCUGUGGAAGCCAACGGGACACUGCCGAGAGUCAUUGUGGGAGUAAGUGCGAAGUGGUUUGCUGGUAUUGCUUGAAGCCAAAGAGUUAAGCAGAUGGCAGCAGAGUAGCGCGAUCAAAGAACGUAAGACAGGGUCUACAUUAGGUGGGCGGGUUAGGUGUGUAUAAAUAGAACUAGAGCUAAGUUUGAUGGCUUUUGACGCAGAGGAAUGUGAAUGUGAAUGUGUCUUACUUUCUUGUACGAGGUUUAAAAAAGAAGACCGUUAGCUGGUUUUUUAGCUGCAACUAUCUUUUCCAUAUUGGAAUUGCAGAGCAGAGCACAUCGAAAUUUUAUUUAUUUUUCCAAGAUCCGUAGGAUAUGAAAUCGUGAAUAAAAUUCGGAUAUCGAAAUGUGAUAAAACGAGUGUCGUUGAGUGGACCAAUUUACUGUAUUAUCGGCUCGUUCGCGUUAGGUAAGGAGAAACACCGCAUUUCUCUCAGCACUUGGGAGGGAGUUGUGGGCUUGCGGCUGCAUUGUCUGACCUGCGGUUGACAGAAAUUAA
This 2550-nucleotide unclassified non-coding RNA is filed under the name Hevea brasiliensis (rubber tree). The record is from RNAcentral. Lineage: Eukaryota; Viridiplantae; Streptophyta; Magnoliopsida; Malpighiales; Euphorbiaceae.